This is an RNA transcript of Venturia canescens, 1653 nucleotides long. It is a transcript of the gene named L-galactose dehydrogenase-like, with no coding region annotated. The transcript has 9 exons. Lineage: Eukaryota; Metazoa; Arthropoda; Insecta; Hymenoptera; Ichneumonidae. The record is from RefSeq and is a predicted model, not a curated record.
AGAAGUCAGCAGACUCGUCAUCUGGUCAAGCAGAUUGACGUGACAUUCGGAAGAUUCGGAAUAAAAACACAACAGUGACAAUCGGGCGCUCGUUCAGUGAUUACGUCGAUUAAAUAAACUCACCUCGACGUGUUUUCAAGUGUUGUGAUAAUUUUCUAAUCGAUCAGUACCUCGAUCAAUAGAUCCGACGAUUAUUGACUUAUUUCAAAACCAAGAGAAAAAACAACCGGAACAAAAAUGAAAUCGUUACCACCGACUUACGUGGAAGGUUUCCACGAUUUGGAAGCAGUGAAAGCGAUGGAAUAUAGACCAUUGGGUAAAACCGGUAUGCUCGUAAGCAAAUUAUCUUUCGGUGGUGGACCGUUGGGCUGUCAUUAUGGAUCGUUCGACGAGGCGGAAGCUAUCGAAACGAUAAGAUACGCGAUCCGUCAGGGUGUGAAUUACAUCGAUACCGCGCCGUGGUACGGGCAAGGUCGCUCGGAGGAAGUCAUUGGCAAAGCUCUGCAAGGAAUUCCGCGAGAAGCCUACUACGUUGCAACCAAAGUUGGAAGGUACGAGCUCGACUUUGAAAAAAUGUUUGAUUUCUCGAUAGAGAAGACGCGGAGUAGUUUGAAAAAGAGUCUCGCCUUAUUGCAGCUCGAGUACGUCGACGUUAUACAAGUCCACGACAUCGAGUUUGCACCUUCUCUGGAUAUUAUUAUAACUCAAACGCUUCCUGAGUUGUCGAAACAAGUGAGAGAUGGAAAAGCCAAAUUUAUCGGAAUCACCGGAUAUCCGAUAUCAAUAUUGAAAGAAUGCGUUGAAAAGAGCAAUAUCGCAAUCAGUUGCGUUUUGACGUACUCGAGGUACACUCUCAUCGACGAAACCCUCCUCGAUUUCAUCGAUUUUUUCGAAAAUCAUAACAUUGGUAUUGUCAACGCUGCUGGAGUUUGCAUGGGAAUGUUGACGAACAAUGGACCACCUGAAUGGCACCCAGCACCGAAUGAAGUGCGAGAACAGUGUGCCAACGCGAGGCAAUGUUGCAAGGACCACGACCAAAAUUUGGCGCGAUUAGCCGUAUGGCACUCGAUGCAGUGUCCAAAGAUCGCGACGAAUUUAAUUGGAAUGCAAAAUCUAAGGGACUUGAAGACUAAUCUUGAUAUUAUGAUAAACGGAAUUACUGACAAAGAAAAAGAAGCGCUUCGUGAACUGCGAGAAAAUUCUCGGUAUCAAAGAAUCUUAAAAUGUCUUCUCUGAUAUGAACGACGAAAUAUCUUAUUCCGACCGAUCUUAUAAAACGACCGAUCUCAACUUACACUGACGGACCAAUCAAAAGACAAGUGAACUUCACCACGAGAAUAAUUUUUCAAAAAAAAACAAUGUACAUAUGUCUACGGUACUUUUCAAAGGUCAAAGGCAGCCAUUGGGAAGGUCGUGAAAUCGAGACUUAUCGUAAAGCUAUGAAUCAACGAUUCUAAAAAUGUAUAUAAACAAAAUAUAUACUUAUGUAUUUUUUUAUCAUUUUACAUUUAACGAUAUGUUAUUGUUACUCAGACUGAAACGGUCGACUGUUCAAUAGAAUAGAAAAUCACAAGUUGUUGAUAUCAGUGAGCAUCUUACGUUGUAUUAUUAUGAAAAAAUAUAGUUAAAGUUUUCUUGUUUUCCUUAUUUUAA